AUUUAUAUAGUAUAAAAAGUAUUUUUGACUUCCAAUCAAAAGGUCUAAAUUUUAGUAUAAAUA
RNAcentral lists this transfer RNA (63 nucleotides) under Parachauliodes continentalis. RNAcentral describes it as "tRNA-Gly". It matches the Rfam family "tRNA". From Rfam's summary of the family: Transfer RNA (tRNA) molecules are approximately 80 nucleotides in length. Lineage: Eukaryota; Metazoa; Arthropoda; Insecta; Megaloptera; Corydalidae. RNAcentral also lists the same sequence under 1 other name. The record is from RNAcentral.